This 465-nucleotide ribosomal RNA is filed under the name uncultured bacterium. RNAcentral's name for it is "bacterial SSU rRNA". It matches the Rfam family "Bacterial small subunit ribosomal RNA", at positions 330 to 792 of the family's 1533-position model. The record is from RNAcentral.
ACCAGACUCCUACGGGAGGCAGCAGUGAGGAAUAUUGGUCAAUGGCCGAGAGGCUGAACCAGCCAAGUCGCGUGAGGGAUGACGGCCCUACGGGUUGUAAACCUCUUUUGUCGGGGAGCAAAAGACGCCACGCGUGGCGUUCCGAGAGUACCCGAAGAAAACGCAUCGGCUAACUCCGUGCCAGCAGCCGCGGUAAUACGGGGGAUGCGAGCGUUAUCCGGAUUUAUUGGGUUUAAAGGGUGCGUAGGCGGCGCGUCAGGUCAGCGGUGAAAUCCCGGGGCUCAACCCCGGGGCUGCCGUUGAAACCGGAGCGCUAGAAUUCCGAUGCCGUCGGAGGAAUGUGUGGUGUAGCGGUGAAAUGCAUAGAUAUCACACAGAACACCGAUUGCGAAGGCAUCUGACGAAUCGGAGAUUGACGCUGAUGCACGAAAGCGUGGGUAUCGAACAGGAUUAGAUACCCCAGUA